AGAGUUUGAUCAUGGCUCAGGAUGAACGCUAGCGGCAGGCUUAACACAUGCAAGUCGAGGGGUAUCACGCUUUCGGGCGUGAGAGACCGGCGCACGGGUGCGUAACGCGUAUAGAACCUACCUUUUACAGAGGGAUAGCCCAGAGAAAUUUGGAUUAAUACCUCAUAAUAAGUUUUACCGGCAUCGGUAGAACUUUAAAGCUCCGGCGGUAAGAGAUGGGCAUGCGUGCCAUUAGCUAGUUGGUGAGGUAACGGCUCACCAAGGCAACGAUGGCUAGGGGUCCUGAGAGGAUUAUCCCCCACACUGGUACUGAGACACGGUCCAGACUCCUACGGGAGGCAGCAGUGGGGAAUUUUGCGCAAUGGGCGAAAGCCUGACGCAGCAACGCCGCGUGAGUGAUGAAGGCUUUCGGUCGUAAAGCUCUGUCGAAGGGGAAGAAGUGUAUUGUGGCUAAUAUCCACGAUACUUGACGGUACCCCUAAAGGAAGCACCGGCUAACUCCGUGCCAGCAG
RNAcentral lists this ribosomal RNA (512 nucleotides) under uncultured bacterium. Its description in RNAcentral is "bacterial SSU rRNA". It matches the Rfam family "Bacterial small subunit ribosomal RNA", at positions 8 to 514 of the family's 1533-position model. The record is from RNAcentral.